GGAGGGCUUUCUGUUAAACCAAAGAUGGGUGAUGCACUGCUUUUCUGGAGCAUGAAACCUGAUGCUUCUUUGGAUCCUUCAAGUUUGCAUGGUGGUUGCCCGGUGAUUAAAGGGAAUAAGUGGUCAGCCACCAAGUGGAUGCAUGUGAAUGAGUACAAAGUCUGAACUAUAGUUUGAAAGUUAAUUGUAUGACACAACAUCUGAAUUGUAAUUCGGCCCUCCUGAGAGAGAGCUCCAGCGCUAACAGGCAUCAAGUAAAUGUGUAAAUCUUCUUGUAUACAGCUGAGCGCUUUGUUGGUUACAAAAUCAAGAGAUGGGUUUUUCUAUAUCAGCAACUCAAAU
RNAcentral lists this unclassified non-coding RNA (342 nucleotides) under Hevea brasiliensis (rubber tree). Lineage: Eukaryota; Viridiplantae; Streptophyta; Magnoliopsida; Malpighiales; Euphorbiaceae. The record is from RNAcentral.